This 253-nucleotide ribosomal RNA is filed under the name uncultured bacterium. RNAcentral's name for it is "partial 16S ribosomal RNA". It matches the Rfam family "Bacterial small subunit ribosomal RNA", at positions 524 to 776 of the family's 1533-position model. The record is from RNAcentral.
UACAGAGGGUGCGAGCGUUGAUCGGAAUUACUGGGCGUAAAGCGUGCGUAGGCGGUUAUUUAAGUCGGGUGUGAAAGCCCCGGGCUCAACCUGGGAAUUGCAUUCGAGACUGAAUAGCUAGGGUACGGUAGAGGGAAGUGGAAUUUCCGGUGUAGCGGUGAAAUGCGUAGAUAUCGGAAGGAACAUCAGUGGCGAAAGCGACUUCCUGGACCAGUACUGACGUUCAGGCACGAAAGCGUGGGGAGCAAACAGG